Molecule: ribosomal RNA, 251 nt
Filed under: uncultured prokaryote
Description: partial 16S rRNA
Rfam family: Bacterial small subunit ribosomal RNA
Source: RNAcentral
ACGGAGGGUGCGAGCGUUAAUCGGAAUCACUGGGCGUAAAGCGCACGUAGGCGGUGUCGUAAGUCGGAUGUGAAAGCCCUCGGCUCAACCGGGGAACUGCAUUCGAUACUGCGAUGCUUGAGUGCCGGAGAGGGAGGCGGAAUUCCAGGUGUAGGGGUGAAAUGCGUAGAUAUUAGGAGGAACACCAGUGGCGAAGGCGACUUUCUGGCCUAUAACGGACACUGAGGUGCGAAAGCGUGGGGAUCAAACAG